GCCUGGUUCGUGCAGUAGGUAGCGCGUCAGUCUCAUAAUCUGUAGGUCGUGAGUUCAAUCCUCACACAGGGCA
This 73-nucleotide transfer RNA is filed under the name Ameiurus melas (black bullhead). It matches the Rfam family "tRNA". From Rfam's summary of the family: Transfer RNA (tRNA) molecules are approximately 80 nucleotides in length. Lineage: Eukaryota; Metazoa; Chordata; Actinopteri; Siluriformes; Ictaluridae. The record is from Rfam by way of RNAcentral.